UACGUAGGGGGCAAGCGUUGUCCGGAUUUACUGGGCGUAAAGGGUGCGUAGGCGGUAUUUUAAGUCAGAUGUGAAAUAUCCGAGCUUAACUCGGAGGGUGCAGUUGAAACUGGGAUACUUGAGUGCAGGAGAGGAAAGUGGAAUUCCUAGUGUAGCGGUGAAAUGCGUAGAUAUUAGGAGGAACACCAGUGGCGAAGGCGACUUUCUGGACUGUAACUGACGCUGAGGCACGAAAGCGUGGGGAGCAAACAGG
This 253-nucleotide ribosomal RNA is filed under the name uncultured bacterium. Its description in RNAcentral is "partial 16S ribosomal RNA". It matches the Rfam family "Bacterial small subunit ribosomal RNA", at positions 524 to 776 of the family's 1533-position model. The record is from RNAcentral.